RNAcentral lists this ribosomal RNA (503 nucleotides) under uncultured bacterium. RNAcentral describes it as "partial 16S ribosomal RNA". It matches the Rfam family "Bacterial small subunit ribosomal RNA", at positions 30 to 523 of the family's 1533-position model. The record is from RNAcentral.
AUUGAACGCUGGCGGCAGGCUUAACACAUGCAAGUCGAGCGGGGUGAUGGUGCUUGCACUAUCACUUAGCGGCGGACGGGUGAGUAAUGCUUAGGAAUCUGCCUAUUAGUGGGGGACAACAUCUCGAAAGGGAUGCUAAUACCGCAUACGUCCUACGGGAGAAAGCAGGGGAUCACUUGUGACCUUGCGCUAAUAGAUGAGCCUAAGUCGGAUUAGCUAGUUGGUGGGGUAAGGGCCUACCAAGGCGACGAUCUGUAGCGGGUCUGAGAGGAUGAUCCGCCACACUGGGACUGGAACACGGCCCAGACUCCAACGGGAGGCAGCAGUGGGGAAUAUUGGCCAAUGGGGGGAACCCGGAUCCAGCCAUGCCGCGUGUGUGAAGAAGGCCUUAUGGUUGUAAUGCACUUUAAGCGAGGAGGAGGCUCUUUUGGUUAAUACCCAAGAUGAGUGGACGUUACACGCAGAAUAAGCACCGGCUAACACUGUGCCAGCCGCCGCCGUAA